RNAcentral lists this ribosomal RNA (507 nucleotides) under uncultured Actinomycetes bacterium. RNAcentral describes it as "bacterial SSU rRNA". It matches the Rfam family "Bacterial small subunit ribosomal RNA", at positions 42 to 566 of the family's 1533-position model. Lineage: Bacteria; Bacillati; Actinomycetota; Actinomycetes. The record is from RNAcentral.
GCGCGCCUAAAACAUGCAAGUCGAACGAGAAGCCCGGGCUUGCCCGGGUGGACAGUGGCGAACGGGUGAGUAACACGUGAGGAACCUGCCCCGAAGACCGGGACAACACCGGGAAACCGGUGCUAAUACCGGAUACCUUCACCGGAUCGCAUGUUCUGGUGAAGAAAUGGAUUCCGCUUCGGGAUGGCCUCGCGGCCUAUCAGCUAGUUGGUGAGGUAACGGCUCACCAAGGCGACGACGGGUAGCUGGUCUGAGAGGAUGUCCAGCCACACUGGGACUGAGACACGGCCCAGACUCCUACGGGAGGCAGCAGUUAGGAAUCUUGCGCAAUGGACGAAAGUCUGACGCAGCGACGCCGCGUGCGGGAUGAAGGCCUUCGGGUUGUAAACCGCUUUCAGCAGGGACGAAAUUGACGGUACCUGCAGAAGAAGCCCCGGCCAACUACGUGCCAGCAGCCGCGGUAAUACGUAGGGGGCAAGCGUUGUCCGGAUUUAUUGGGCGUAAAGA